This 1000-nucleotide ribosomal RNA is filed under the name Streptomyces sp. RNAcentral's name for it is "bacterial SSU rRNA". It matches the Rfam family "Bacterial small subunit ribosomal RNA", at positions 100 to 1112 of the family's 1533-position model. Lineage: Bacteria; Bacillati; Actinomycetota; Actinomycetes; Kitasatosporales; Streptomycetaceae. The record is from RNAcentral.
AAAAGAGUGGGGGGGCAAUCUGGCCCUGCACUCUGGGGACAAGCCCUUGGAAACGGGGUCUAAUACCGGAUACUGACCCGCUUGGGCAUCCAAGCGGUUCGAAAGCUCCGGCGGUGCAGGAUGAGCCCGCGGCCUAUCAGCUUGUUGGUGAGGUAAUGGCUCACCAAGGCGACGACGGGUAGCCGGCCUGAGAGGGCGACCGGCCACACUGGGACUGAGACACGGCCCAGACUCCUACGGGAGGCAGCAGUGGGGAAUAUUGCACAAUGGGCGAAAGCCUGAUGCAGCGACGCCGCGUGAGGGAUGACGGCCUUCGGGUUGUAAACCUCUUUCAGCAGGGAAGAAGCGAAAGUGACGGUACCUGCAGAAGAAGCGCCGGCUAACUACGUGCCAGCAGCCGCGGUAAUACGUAGGGCGCGAGCGUUGUCCGGAAUUAUUGGGCGUAAAGAGCUCGUAGGCGGCUUGUCACGUCGGUUGUGAAAGCCCGGGGCUUAACCCCGGGUCUGCAGUCGAUACGGGCAGGCUAGAGUUCGGUAGGGGAGAUCGGAAUUCCUGGUGUAGCGGUGAAAUGCGCAGAUAUCAGGAGGAACACCGGUGGCGAAGGCGGAUCUCUGGGCCGAUACUGACGCUGAGGAGCGAAAGCGUGGGGAGCGAACAGGAUUAGAUACCCUGGUAGUCCACGCCGUAAACGGUGGGCACUAGGUGUGGGCGACAUUCCACGUCGUCCGUGCCGCAGCUAACGCAUUUAAGUGCCCCGCCUGGGGAGUACGGCCGCAAGGCUAAAACUCAAAGGGAAUUGACGGGGGCCCGCACAAGCGGCGGAGCAUGUGGCUUAAUUCGACGCAACGCGAAGAACCUUACCAAGGCUUGACAUACACCGGAAAGCAUCAGAGAUGGUGCCCCCCUUGUGUCGGUGUACAGGGUGGUGCAUGGCUGUCGUCAGCUCGUGUCGGUGGAGAUGUUGGGGUAAGUCCCGCAAACGAGCGCAACCCUUUGUCCC